RNAcentral lists this small RNA (314 nucleotides) under Pan troglodytes (chimpanzee). Its description in RNAcentral is "processed transcript". Lineage: Eukaryota; Metazoa; Chordata; Mammalia; Primates; Hominidae. The record is from RNAcentral.
UUAUAGUCAAAAGCUGUUGUGGUGUUGUUGUAGGCUUAUAGUUGAGCAUUAUUUUCUUAAAUUUCUUGAAUGUUCUUUAUGGUAGUGUUACUAAAAAGUUUAUGAUCACAUUUUCAUUGUGAACAUAAUUUGAACUCAUUAUCACACACUUGGAAAAUACAGAAAAGUGGAGGAAAAAAAAUCAUAUCCCCACCAUCCAAAGACAUAUACUCUCCUCUAUCUUGUUCAUUCUUGUUUCUGUGCACAGGUUUUUGGUUUGUUAAUAUGGUUGUGGUCAUUCUAUCUGUAAUAGUGUCAACAAUAAAAAUAAAGUU